UUGAACGCUGGCGGCAGGCCUAACACAUGCAAGUCGAACGGUAACAGGGAUCAGCUUGCUGAUUCGCUGACGAGUGGCGGCCGGGUGAGUAAUGUCUGGGAAACUGCCUGAUGGAGGGGGAUAACUACUGGAAACGGUAGCUAAUACCGCAUAACGUCGCAAGACCAAAGAGGGGGACCUUCGGGCCUCUUGCCAUCGGAUGUGCCCAGAUGGGAUUAGCUAGUAGGUGGGGUAACGGCUCACCUAGGCGACGAUCCCUAGCUGGUCUGAGAGGAUGACCAGCCACACUGGAACUGAGACACGGUCCAGACUCCUACGGGAGGCAGCAGUGGGGAAUAUUGCACAAUGGGCGCAAGCCUGAUGCAGCCAUGCCGCGUGUAUGAAGAAGGCCUUCGGGUUGUAAAGUACUUUCAGCGGGGAGGAAGGGAGUAAAGUUAAUACCUUUGCUCAUUGACGUUACCCGCAGAAGAAGCACCGGCUAACUCCGUG
This 489-nucleotide ribosomal RNA is filed under the name uncultured bacterium. RNAcentral's name for it is "partial 16S ribosomal RNA". It matches the Rfam family "Bacterial small subunit ribosomal RNA", at positions 30 to 507 of the family's 1533-position model. The record is from RNAcentral.